RNAcentral lists this long non-coding RNA (798 nucleotides) under Pelusios castaneus (West African mud turtle). RNAcentral describes it as "lncRNA (ENSPCEG00000005763.1)". The record is from RNAcentral. Lineage: Eukaryota; Metazoa; Chordata; Testudines; Pelomedusidae.
AUGUAUCCUGGUGGGACCAGCCAGGGAGACGUGUCUGGGAGAUGGAUCCUAAAGGAACCAGCCAAGAAGAUGGAUCCUGAUGGGAACAGCUGGAGAGGCAGAUCCAGCAGCGCUGUCGUUGAUCUCCACAGCACCUCCACCGGAGAGGCUGAGGGUCUUGUUUAUCACUACGGCUGGCUCUCUCCCUGCAGUCACCACCUCUUCCCUGGAUGGAUCCUGUGUGCGGGGGAGGCGGGGAGGGUAUAUGAGGGCUCGACAGGAGUGAAACCGCAGGCAAACGGAGCCCUAGCGCAUCUCUACCUCCCUUCGCUGAUCCGGGGUGCAGUGGGAGUUCAACCAGUAGCCGGGCUGGGACCAGCCGGAGCUAAGGCAGUACAAUACCCCGGCUAUGGACCCCAAGGACUGCAGCCACGACCGGGAGCUCAGAAUGGGUUUGGAGCAGGACUGGGUAUCGGGGUAAAGCUGGGCAAAGCAGGCUAUAGGGUCCCCACUGGUUACGGUGCAGGAUUAGGUGCUUAUCCCCAAGGAGCAAAACAAAAGCCAGGGUACUCCCGUGCUGUGCUGCCCCUGGGAGGUUAUAGGGUAAGACCCAUAGCUGGCAGUUACUCCACAGCUCAACAAGGGUACCCUGGAGUAGGCGGUGGGUACGUAGUCAAUGGAGCACAGCCAGGAUAUGGGAAUGGCUAUGGUGCAGGAGGGAACAGUUACCCCGGCGCUGGACUCCAGUCAGGAUAUGGCAACGGUAUGUCCAGUGGCAGAGGGAUGGGAGGGAGGAGGCGAUCCCAGGGCAGGGCUAGA